RNAcentral lists this ribosomal RNA (253 nucleotides) under uncultured bacterium. RNAcentral describes it as "partial 16S ribosomal RNA". It matches the Rfam family "Bacterial small subunit ribosomal RNA", at positions 524 to 776 of the family's 1533-position model. The record is from RNAcentral.
UACGUAGGGUGCGAGCGUUAAUCGGAAUUACUGGGCGUAAAGCGUGCGCAGGCGGUUUUGUAAGCCAGAUGUGAAAGCCCCCGGCUUAACCUGGGAACUGCGUCUGAUACUGGAGGGCUUGAGUGCGGGAGAGGGAUGUGGAAUUCCAGGUGUAGCGGUGAAAUGCGUAGAUAUCUGGAGGAACACCGGUGGCGAAGGCGGCAUCCUGGACCGACACUGACGCUGAGGCGCGAAAGCUAGGGUAGCAAACGGG